AUUGAACGCUGGCGGUAGGCCUAACACAUGCAAGUCGAACGAGUGGCGGACGGGUGAGGAAUACAUCGGAAUCUACUCUGUCGUGGGGGAUAACGUAGGGAAACUUACGCUAAUACCGCAUACGAUUGAAUGAGCCGUUGCCGGAUUAGCUAGUUGGCGGGGAAAAGGCCCACCAAGGCGACGAUCCGUAGCUGGUCUGAGAGGAUGAUCAGCAACACUGGAACUGAGACACGGUCCAGACUCAUACGGGAGGCAGAAGUGGGGAAUAUUGGACAAUGGGGGCAAGCCAGAUCCAGCCAUACCGCAUGGAUGAAGAAGGCCUUCGGGUUGUAAAGCCCUUUUGUUGGGAAAGCAGUACCCAAAGAAUAAGCACCGGCUAACUUCGUGCCAGCAGCCGCGGUAAUAC
RNAcentral lists this ribosomal RNA (406 nucleotides) under uncultured bacterium. Its description in RNAcentral is "partial 16S ribosomal RNA". It matches the Rfam family "Bacterial small subunit ribosomal RNA", at positions 30 to 526 of the family's 1533-position model. The record is from RNAcentral.